UGUCCCGUGGUGUAAUGGUAACACAACUGGUUUUGGUCCAGUCGUUUAAGGUUCGAAUCCUUACGGGACAAC
Molecule: transfer RNA, 72 nt
Filed under: Bacteroidetes bacterium ADurb.Bin217
Lineage: Bacteria; Pseudomonadati; Bacteroidota
Description: tRNA-Gln
Rfam family: tRNA
About the family: Transfer RNA (tRNA) molecules are approximately 80 nucleotides in length.
Source: RNAcentral